UGGUGGGCGAAAGGGUACCAGGAGAUAGCGUAAAAAAAUUAGGGGUACGGGGAGUCUAAAAGGUUGGUAACCACUGGCCGAUAUGGUUA
Long non-coding RNA from Priapulus caudatus, 89 nucleotides. RefSeq lists it as uncharacterized. The record is from RefSeq and is a predicted model, not a curated record. Lineage: Eukaryota; Metazoa; Priapulida; Priapulimorpha; Priapulimorphida; Priapulidae. The transcript is spliced from 3 exons.